CUUGCCCCCCAGGGCACUUCUCCACUGGCAAAGGACGGACGCUGUCAAACCUGGCAGAGCAGAGGUCGUGAGUUCGAAACAUGGGGCUCUUGGAAGGCAAGGAUUUAUUCUUGGAAGGCAAGGUGCAACUUGGAUUGGCUUGCUUGGCACUUUGUCAGACCAGGUGGGGAGCGCUCGGACCCUGGCCAGUUGGAGGCACAUCCUGCGAUUAACCGGACUGUGUGAAGAGGGGCCGGAUCACAGACCCAAGGAUUAGUCUAGAAUAGGACACCUUGUAAAAAAAAAAAAAAAAAAAAAAAAAAAAAAAAAAAAAAAAAA
This 318-nucleotide long non-coding RNA is filed under the name Olea europaea (common olive). RNAcentral describes it as "long non-coding RNA (OEUR_LNC006038)". Lineage: Eukaryota; Viridiplantae; Streptophyta; Magnoliopsida; Lamiales; Oleaceae. The record is from RNAcentral.